Molecule: ribosomal RNA, 501 nt
Filed under: uncultured archaeon
Lineage: Archaea
Description: bacterial SSU rRNA
Rfam family: Archaeal small subunit ribosomal RNA
Source: RNAcentral
AACCUCCGCAAUGCGAGCAAUCGCGACGGGGGGACCCCAAGUGCUACUCUUAACGGGGUAGCUUUUCUAAAGUGCUUCAGGAAUAAGAGCUGGCAAGACCGGUGCCAGCCGCCGCGGUAACACCGGCAGCUCAAGUGGUGGCCGUUUUUAUUGGGCCUAAAGCGUCCGUAGCCGGUUUAAUAAGUCUCUGGUGAAAUCCUGCAGCUUAACUGUGGGAAUGCUGGAGAUACUAUUAGACUUGAGAUCGGGAGAGGUUAGAGGUACUCCCAGGGUAGAGGUGAAAUUCUGUAAUCCUGGGAGGACCGCUGUUGCGAAGGCGUCUGACUGGAACGAUCUGACGGUGAGGGACGAAAGCUAGGGGGGGGACCGGGAUUAGAUACCCGGGUAGUCCUAGCUGUAAACGAUGCGGACUGGGUGUUGGGCGGUGCCGAAGGGAGCUGUUAAGUCCGCCGCCUGGGAAGUACGGUCGCAAGACUGAAACUUAAGGAAUUGGCGGGGAGC